AUUGAACGCUGGCGGCACGCUUAACACAUGCAAGUCGAACGGCAGCACGAAGGGGUAACUCUUUGGUGGCGAGUGGCGAACGGGUGAGUAACGCGUAGGGAUCUGCCUGUUAGAGGGGGGAUAAGCCGGGGAAACUCGGUCUAAUACCGCAUACGCUCUACGGAGGAAAGUAAUGGGAUUUAAUUACCAUACGCUAACAGAUGAACCUGCGUUAGAUUAGCUAGUUGGUAGGGUAAAGGCCUACCAAGGCGACGAUCUAUAGCUGGUCUGAGAGGAUGACCAGCCACACUGGAACUGAGAGACGGACCAGACUCCUACGGGAGGCAGCAGUGGGGAAUAUUGGACAAUGGGGGGCAACCCUGAUCCAGCGAUGCCGCGUGUGUGAAGAAGGCCUGAGGGUUGUAAAGCACUUUAGUUGGGGGAGGAAGAAUCCAGAGAUGAAUAAGCUAUGGAAAUGACGUUACCCAAAGAAUAAGCACCGGCUAACUCUGUGCCAGCAGCCGCGGUAA
RNAcentral lists this ribosomal RNA (509 nucleotides) under uncultured bacterium. RNAcentral describes it as "bacterial SSU rRNA". It matches the Rfam family "Bacterial small subunit ribosomal RNA", at positions 30 to 523 of the family's 1533-position model. The record is from RNAcentral.